RNAcentral lists this transfer RNA (71 nucleotides) under Triphoturus mexicanus (Mexican lampfish). Its description in RNAcentral is "tRNA-Pro". It matches the Rfam family "tRNA". From Rfam's summary of the family: Transfer RNA (tRNA) molecules are approximately 80 nucleotides in length. Their secondary structure includes four short double-helical elements and three loops (D, anti-codon, and T loops). Further hydrogen bonds mediate the characteristic L-shaped molecular structure. tRNAs have two regions of fundamental functional importance: the anti-codon, which is responsible for specific mRNA codon recognition, and the 3' end, to which the tRNAs corresponding amino acid is attached (by aminoacyl-tRNA synthetases). tRNAs cope with the degeneracy of the genetic code in two manners: having more than one tRNA (with a specific anti-codon) for a particular amino acid; and 'wobble' base-pairing, i.e. permitting non-standard base-pairing at the 3rd anti-codon position. The record is from RNAcentral. Lineage: Eukaryota; Metazoa; Chordata; Actinopteri; Myctophiformes; Myctophidae.
CAGGGCGUAGUUUAAUUUGAGAGCAUCGGCUUUGGGUGCCGAAGGUGUGAGUGUGAGUCUCGUCGGCCUGA